AGUGAACGCUGGCGGCGUGCCCAAUACAUGCAAGUCGAACGGGGAUUAAGUAGCUUGCUAUUUAAUCUUAGUGGCGCACGGGUGAGUAAUAUAUAGCUAACUUACCCAUUACUAAGGGACAACAGUUGGAAACGACUGCUAAUACCUUAUACUCCGUAUCUAUAUAAGUAGAUACGGGAAAGUUUUUCGGUAAUGGAUAGGGCUAUAUCGUAUCAGCUAGCUGGUAAGGUAAUGGCUUACCAAGGCUAUGACGCGUAACUGGUCUGAGAGGAUGAUCAGUCAAACUGGAACUGAGACACGGUCCAGACUCCUACGGGAAGGAGCAGUAGGGGAUAUUGCGCAAUGGGGGAAAAGCUGAAGCAGCAACGCCGCGUGGAGGAUGACACUUUUCGGAGCGUAAACUCCUUUUCUUGGGAGAGAAUUAUGACGGUACCCAAGGAAUAAGCACCGGCUAACUCCGUG
This 462-nucleotide ribosomal RNA is filed under the name uncultured bacterium. RNAcentral describes it as "partial 16S ribosomal RNA". It matches the Rfam family "Bacterial small subunit ribosomal RNA", at positions 29 to 507 of the family's 1533-position model. The record is from RNAcentral.